UACGAAGGGGCAAGCGUUGUUCGGAAUCACUGGGCGUAAAGAGUUCGUAGGCGGUCUUGCCAGUCAGAGGUGAAAGCCCAGGGCUCAACCUUGGAACUGCCUUUGAUACUGCAAGACUAGAAUCCGUGAGAGGGUGGUGGAAUUCCCAGUGUAGAGGUGAAAUUCGUAGAUAUUGGGAGGAACACCAGUGGCGAAGGCGGCCACCUGGCGCGGUAUUGACGCUGAGGACGAAAGCGUGGGGAGCAAACAGG
Molecule: ribosomal RNA, 251 nt
Filed under: uncultured bacterium
Lineage: Bacteria
Description: partial 16S ribosomal RNA
Rfam family: Bacterial small subunit ribosomal RNA
Source: RNAcentral